This 630-nucleotide transfer RNA is filed under the name uncultured cyanobacterium. RNAcentral describes it as "16S-23S ribosomal RNA intergenic spacer". The stretch from base 251 to 323 matches the Rfam family "tRNA". The record is from RNAcentral. Lineage: Bacteria; Bacillati; Cyanobacteriota.
CAGGGAGACAAUAAAAUGAUUGUGAUGUCUAAGUUAUUUAUUCUUAGGCCGCAAUCCUGUCACCUUAAGGUCGAUCGGUACCUCAGAUUUUUGAAUUAAUUUUAUAAUUGAUUCUUUGAUUUCAGUUCCUAAACUUGUCUAGGUCACACCCAACAAAGUUUUCUCCUGGGCCAUUAGCUCAGGUGGUUAGAGCGCACCCCUGAUAAGGGUGAGGUCCCUGGUUCAAGUCCAGGAUGGCCCAUUCGUUGUUGGGGGUAUAGCUCAGUUGGUAGAGCGCCUGCUUUGCAAGCAGGAUGUCAGCGGUUCGAGUCCGCUUACCUCCACUGAAAACUAUCCUGAUAACUAAAUUCUGGAGAAAAAUUGUAGAUGUGGCUUAGAAUUGUCUAUUUGAAGAGAACCUAGCUUCUUGUCAUCUUUUUAUAGUUGAUAAAAUGCUGGGCUCGCAUGGAUUAUUUCCAUGAGAAUUCAGUAGAACCUUGAAAACUGCAUAGAUUAGAAAGAAUAAAGCAUCUCAUGGAUGCAUAAUUCUGUUUAAAUAAUUUAGCCUUAAAACUAAAUUAUUUAAUCUUAGAAUUCAUGUUUAAUUCUUGAGUAAAAGCCGAGCACAAUUGAUUUUGUGAUUGUAUUUAA